This 402-nucleotide RNase P RNA is filed under the name Chitinophagaceae bacterium. RNAcentral's name for it is "RNase P RNA component class A". It matches the Rfam family "Bacterial RNase P class A". From Rfam's summary of the family: Ribonuclease P (RNase P) is a ubiquitous endoribonuclease, found in archaea, bacteria and eukarya as well as chloroplasts and mitochondria. Its best characterised activity is the generation of mature 5'-ends of tRNAs by cleaving the 5'-leader elements of precursor-tRNAs. The record is from RNAcentral. Lineage: Bacteria; Pseudomonadati; Bacteroidota; Chitinophagia; Chitinophagales; Chitinophagaceae. RNAcentral also lists the same sequence under 1 other name.
CUGCAAGCAGAGGCUAUCGCAUCUCAAUUUUCCUGAGAUGAGGAAAGUCCGGCCAGCAAAGGGCAUCACACCGGUUAACAGCCGGUCCUGAGACAUUCAGGAAGAUAGUGCCACAGAAAAUAACCGUCUCUACACAGGUAGAGAUAAGGGUGAAAAUGUAAGGUAAGAGCUUACAGGGAUUCCGGGUAACCGGAGUUUCGGGUAAACCUUGUGUGCUGCAAUGCCACGUAGGUUUCGGUUUGUGUUCUUUACACAAGGCAGGCUGCCCGUCUGCCAUUCGCACCGCGAAUACCGGAAUGGGUAGGCAGCUUUGACCAUCGCAGUAAUGCGCUGGCAAGAUAAAUGAUAGCCAUUGUGCCACAAGCACAAUUACAGAAGCCGGCUUACGAUGCUUGCACUUUA